RNAcentral lists this ribosomal RNA (253 nucleotides) under uncultured bacterium. Its description in RNAcentral is "partial 16S ribosomal RNA". It matches the Rfam family "Bacterial small subunit ribosomal RNA", at positions 524 to 776 of the family's 1533-position model. The record is from RNAcentral.
UACGGGGGGAGCAAACGUUGUUCGGAAUCACUGGGCGUAAAGGGCGCGUAGGCGGCCAGAUAAGUGGGGUGUUAAAUCUCCCGGCUCAACCGGGAACCUGCACCUCAUACUGCCUGGCUUGAGUACAGCAGAGGAGACUGGAAUUCCCGGUGUAGCGGUGAAAUGCGUAGAUAUUGGGAGGAACACCAGUGGCGAAGGCGGCUCGCUGGACCGGUUCUGACGCUGAGGCGCGAAAGCGUGGGGAGCAAACAGG